GUUUGAGUCUCCAGUGAGACACGCACUGUUUCCAUCUGCAUUUGCAGCUGCCACGUUACAGACUCCUCGGUGUGAAGCUGCAAGCCUCUGAUGGUCUCCUUGUGUCUUCCAGUUCAGUAGGCCCAUGUACAGACAGGUGGAAAUGCAUAUGGAAUAACUUUCAUUUCUCCUCCCCAUUCUGAUUAAGUCUAUAGGUAUGGGCCCAGGAGGAUGCUCUUAGCCAUGGCUGAUCCGGCCAAGAGUAUUCACUAGACCCCAAGCUACAGCAUUCACAUUCUCUCUCCUAAGAAUUUUGCAUCAAGUCUGAAAUACUCAGAGCUAAUUUCUAUGUGUCAUGGAUGGAGUCAAAAAAAGAAGGUGUUGUUCUGCUUUGAAUUCCAUUUGGGAGAUGCAGCGUGGUGUGUUUUUCCCCAUUUGAACCAGAGUGGCAAAGAAAGCCAGUUUUCAGAGAAAGAGAAAAGCAGGAAGUGGAAACAGGAAAUGAAAGAGACUCCUUCAGACUUUAAGAGGCAACCUCCGAGGCUGGUUCCAGCCCUUCUGGAAGCCGGGCUGCAUCCCUGCCCUUGGGUUCCAGGAGGCACUCCUGAAUGUUGACUACUAUUUCUCUCUUUUUGCUUGAGCAAAGUUAACUCAUUUAAACAAGCCCAUGGUUCUUGUAACUGCUGAGUCCUAUAUCUUGUAAUCACCAACAUCUGAGUGCCCCUUGCUCUUCUUAGUGAUUUUUUUUUUAGAUUUGGUUAUUAUUACAAGAUUUAGCCCUUCUCUAUUUCACAUCCACAUUCAUUAUUGUGUGUUUCUAGUUACAUGUCUUUGUGUGUGAGAGAGAGACAGACAGAGAGACAGAGACAGAGAGGGAACUGACAUAGAAAACUCUGACCUAAAUAUAGAAGUUUUAAAAUAAAGACAUUCUUUGAGGCCAAAUUGUUCCCAAAAAGGGCAUCUAGCUAACCCCAAAGUGUCCUGCAGGGUGGCCUACGUCUGUGGACUCCCUUGUCCAUGGGGCCUGGCUCUCAUCACACAGACUUGGGAAUUCAGGUUUCUCUGUGUCUUGCACUUGUAAUGUUCUUAUGAGACAGACGCCUAAGUUUAGAACGGAAUUCUGGCUUUUUAGCUUAAAAUAAAACCUACAACUGCCAAAGGGACAAGUUAUUAUUAUCUGCUGGCAGCAUGUUUUCUUCUUCCAGGAAGAACACACUGGGAAACCAAGAUAGCAUCAGAGUGUUCUUAACAAUUAAGGAAUCAGACAGGAGGGUGAUUCCAGGUUUAAUGGCAUUAGUCGUGGGAGCCUGCAUCCUAGCCUGCGCCAGGGUCUCUCAGAUGCUGUGACUGGUCCGUGGCCUGGGUGAGCACUGUCCCAUUUGUCUAAGAGACCUCAUGCCUUGCUCCAUGACAGGCCGUGCCUCUUUGAGAAGGACACAUUUUUUCCUUUAGCCGUAUUCCAGGGUAUAGCAUGGAAACCAGUCUAUUGCAUUGAGGGGGUCCAACCUCAUUUGUAUUGAUUCAGAGGGUGACCUUAUGUAAUGGAAGUCAUAUUUCUCCAAAAUAUAAAACAAUGUAUAUUCUUUCUGGGUCACUCUUUAAUUGUUUCUGGUUGCUUUAUACCUUUGAAGGAGAGGCAUUCCUGACCUUAGAGAGAGGAAGAUGGAGACUAGAAUAAAAAAGAAAUUGCUCAUCUUUGAACCCCAGAUUAGAGUUUAAGGCCAUGGCCAGAUAAUAGUCUAAGCUAAAAUGUCAUUAAUUGUAAUAUGUGCAAUAGGAAAGAAAAGAAAUGCUCCCAAGUAACUAUGACCUAUCACCUGUUGCAAGAUGUGUCUUAAAAUGUGGUGAAAAACUGUGCCAGGCUUUUUUGAGGGACAAAAGGCAUUUAUUUGAAACACCUCAAACUAGGCUUUACAUUUCAAGAGUCAGGGAGGAAAAGUGGACCCACAAACUGAAGAGUAAGCUGGUCUAGACCAGGACAGUGGGGACCUUCUACCACAUAGCCACAGAGGAAUGUCCUGUAGGUAAUGGGAAGAGGCCAUGGAAAGAGAAAAAGGAGAAAGCAAGAGCUUAGCUCUUACAGUCAAGUCUGGAAGCGGGAGUAGAAACCUAUGGUUAUUGGGCUGGUGGCCUCUUCCUCCUGGGGUAGCCUGGGAGGUGGCGAUUCCCCCAGAGAAGCUGGGUGCAGAGUGAGACUCGGCUUGGAGCUGGGCACAGGAGAAUCACAGAGCCCAGGGAGCUGCCACCAGUAGAGUGGGAGGAGCCACAGGGAGUUUCUGGGAGCAGCAGGCUGGAAUCCAGGGGCCUCACAUCUGUGACAAUGGCGAGGCCCACAGCUAUGGACACUGGGUGGCUUGAUGCCCCACACCCUGGGCGAGACCUUUCACACCACAGUAGACACACAGUGCACAGGAUGCAACAAGGACCCAAAGGCAGGGACUACCACCAUUGACUAAGAGGAUGAAACAUCUCACCAGGGACAGCUUGGGUUGGGGUCCCCUCCACAAUGCCAGCAUGGGAGGCAGUCCCUGCAGGAUGCUAGAUCAACCUUAGGGAGAGGACCAAGAGGGAGAAAGCCUGGAAGGCUCUUUACCAAGAGUUACUGAGGUUUCAAAUAAGCUGUGACAGAGAUAACAACACCUGUAUUUGGCUAAAAACCUUGACAUGCUGCAACUCAUUUAUUCUUACAUUUAUUCAUUCAAUAAAUAUUCAUUGAGCACAUACUCCAUACCAGGCAGUGUUCUCAGUAUUUGGGAUGUAUCUAGGAACAAAUCAGACAAAAUCCCUAUGCACCUGGAGCUUACGUUCUACGGUAUGUGGACAUAAAAUAAACUGUAAACAUAAUAAAAAAGAGAACUGCAUAGCAUGUGAAAAGGUGAAUGUGGAAGAUAAGUGUCUGCCUCAAGAAGACUGAGCUUGAGAACAAAAUUGUGCUUAGUUACACAAUAUAUAUUUCCUAUCUGAGCCCCUAUACUUACUUUAUGCCAGUGUUGCCUCCCUCUGAGUAACACUGAACGACAGAAAAAUGAACCCAAGAUAGGCCCUACCCUCAAGGAAUUGCCAGUCCAGCCUGUGAGUUCGUACAAUGAGCUUCACGGGGGCAGGACUCAUGACCUUGCCUUCAUUUAAUAAAUAUUUACCAAGACCCUAGUAAAACAUAUGCCAGGCACUGGGCACUCACAUAACACAUAUAACACACACUCACACACAUAAAACAUUCACAAAACGCACACAACACACACACAAAAUAUACACAUACCACAAACACAACACGUGCAACAGUUACACAACAUACACACAGUCACACAACAUACAGUAUCAACACACACGCAAAACACACACAUUCACACAACACACACAGAAAGCAUACACACAACAAACACAGCACACACACACACAAUAUCUACACUCGCACAACACACACAUCGAAGUCUCCAUGCUGAAAUAUUUUAACAUUUAAGACCACAUGACAGAGACAUGGGUCGAUCUACCCAAAUAAGCACGGGAAAGGUAAUGAUGCUGAGGUGGUGACUGAGAGCCCAAGGCCUCAGCGCAGGCUUUCCGAUCCAGCCAUUUCAGGAGAACACCAUCUGUCCACCUGGGUUCGCAAAGGAGGGUUACGGAGUUCUGAGAAGGGAUUUAUGACCGUGAGAAUGAUUUACAACUAAAAGCCACCUGCGUGAACAACCAAGAGCUAGUGCUCUGCACUUGUUAGUAAUUUCCAUUCAGACUCUCAAACUCUGUCCCCACUGGGCUAAGAAGGCCAUCUGGUGCCAGAUGCACCUUCCAUCCACCUCAACACCUGAGGCUUCAAUGAGUGUCACAACUGCAUUGUGAAAUUGUGUCAUUGGUGUUUCAGUUCCAGAAUUUAAUCUCGUGCAGUUGAGUUUAAAACAAUAACCUACUGACUGCAUGAAAUUUAAUUUUCAGCAGAUCAAAGGAAGUACAAUUUGGUUUCCAUAGAAAAUAUUCCGACUUCGCGUGGGAGUACAAAGAGUUUUGAAUGGGAAAACUCUCUGUGGACAAAGGCAUAUUUUUGAAGUGCAGUAAGGAGCUCAUGUUUUAACUUUAUGCUCGAAUUAUCAAAAGAAAGUUCCGGCCUAACCUCAGCAUGAAGUUACAAUUUUCACCAUUACCGUCCAGCUCCCAGGGUUGUAUGCUUAUUUUGAGCAAUUUAAAUAUAGAUAUACGCAUGUAUUUCUUUUCUUGAUACUUUACAAACACAUUCUUUACCACGCCAGAGGACUGAUUUUGAUGGGAAAAUUCCAGGAGGUAGCAGCUUCGACACUUUCCCAAGGUCUUAAUGGGAGUAACUCUCGAAACUCAAGUGCUCCGGACACAGGAAGAGUUUACUGCCUGGCAGGGCUCCUCCCCGGCCCCCAUCUCCAAGCCCUUCCGGAGAAACCCUUGUUACAUUCCCCAAGGGGUCGUACAGACUUGGAAACACAUCUAAACAGGCAACAAGCUGCCUCAAGUCCCCUUCAUAACAAGAUGAGAUUCACCUAAAUAAAUAAGCAGAGAACUUUCCAGAAGAAAGUUAGGAUGGAGGCUGAAAGAUGGCUUUUUGAAUACAGAAGUGACUGAAGAGAAAUGCUGGCAGCUGUUGAACGAUCUGAGAAGUUGGCGGUGACUAACAGUAAUAUGGGCAACCACUCUAUUUUGUGAUGCCGACAGGAGAGCCAAGCAACAAACGUCGGUCCGUGGGGAUGCCACAAACAGCGUGAAGUCAGAGAGGAGAGGCCCACGAUGCCUCCAGCUCUGCUCUUUCUGGUUGUGCUUCAUCAGCCUCAGGUCUCCCAUCUGUCACACGGGGAUAGUAGAGCCCAGCCUGGCAGGCUGGUGAAAAUACAGAGAAAGUGUUUAUUGCUGUAGUCACACCUGGCAGGUGCUUCGUGUUGUUAUUUUUGGCCCCCCAAAGAUAGGUGUGCAAGACGCUCAAGUGUGGAGUAAGGAUGUCUUCCCAAUCCAAAAUUGGACUUGAGGUUUGAUGAGAAAGGGUGUAGAUAUGGGACAAUACUGCCCAAUAUUUAGAACUAAGACAUUAAAACUAAGACUUCUGAUAUUUUAUUUCCUUAAACUUUGUCAUGUAUCUGAGAUUCAUAUGUAAAUAAGAUUAUCUUUUUAAAGUGAUUUUUUUCCUUCCUCGUGUAUCAUUAGAUUCUUUCAAACUGGGUCAAACCCAUGGCAAUGAGACCAUGAAUUAACAUGAGAACAGUAAGAAGCAGAACUGAGGAACUAUAGAUAUGAAAAGUUUAUCUAGAAAAAUGUAACCUGGUCAUAAAGAAAAUACUAGGACCAAGGAUAGAGUCUGCUAACAGGGUUUCACUCAUUUCUUCCAGUGGAGAAAAAGCAAGCCCAAGAGGUUUUCAGGACAUUGGCCAUCCUCCCCACCCACCUUUUUCUUUUUUUGUAUCCUCUAAAAAGUUUAACACAGAACAAAGCACUCAAUAAGAAUUUUUCGGUACUUUAAAAUCAGACUUAGACAAAGUGAUCUCAACUCCAGGGAAACUGCUCUCUCUACCCCUGUUUAGGCUGAAUCACUAGCAGCGCUUACAGACUUUCUUACACGUAAAAUUCCCCGAAUACACUGACGAGCAUUUAGAUGCAAUAAGAUUAAUCGAGAAACAUCAUUUGCAGAAGUAUGUUGGCCAUUUACGCCAAAAUCUGGCUGACCUUUAAAUUUUAUUUUUCUAUUUUGAAGAAGAAGAAGAAAAAGAAAGCAGUUACGGUUUUAUUUACUUAAGAGUCGGUAUGACCCAAAAUUGUUACAUAAGUAACAUGCUAACCAUCAAACCUCCUAAUGGCACACUUAAUCUUUUUAUAUUCAGAGUUUCCUUGUGACUACUUGAGAUGACAAGAUUACAUGUGCGGGAAGAGGGGAAAUCUCUUAAAUUUCUUCCUCACAAGAAGGACUGGGAGGAACAAAGGAAUUGUUAGAAGUUAGAGAAGAGAAGCGAGAGAAAUAAGGCAGCAAUUAGGAAAAGUGCGAACCCCCUCAUGCGAUACACCCACCUUGUCAGUACAAAACUGACGCGUGACCUACAUGGGCUUCUUUUCCAUCUUGUCAAACUGACUGUUUUCCUCUAAACAAUCCAGAUUAGCGGGAUAAAUAGUGCUAGGCAAGUCCCUAUUUGCCCUUUGCUUCAACCUUGGCAGUUAAAACCACUCACGCAGGGCUCCACCGCCUCCAGGAGAAAGCCCAGACCACCAGGGCUCACAUUCUGGGCUCACAUUCCAGACCCGCCUCGGUCUCCCCUGAUUCUACCUUUUUGAACACACUUUUCUCCUUGCCCUUCAUGCUUCUAGGCUUGAGUCAAACACAGUCUCCUUGCCAGCUUCCCCAGUGGCUACUCAUUCCCUCUGCCCAGAAUGUUAACUUUCUUCCUCCUCCAGCUCAUGCCCUCCUCCUCCUCACCCUUCCAGGACCGUCCUAAACACCGUUUUCCCACCCCUCCAACCAGGGGAACAGGGUGACCAUCGCCCCUAUCCCUACCCCUUGGCUUCCCCUCCCCCCUCUGAUGGCACUGGCAACCCCGACUUUGUGGGGCUUGAGUUCUUCCCUACUCUGAUACUCAUCAAAUGCUUAAAGGUAGGCUCCUUCUCUGACGGACUCUAUCCUGAACAGAGCAGAUGUUGGAAUCUUUGCCAAUGAAGGAAAGUGGCUACAUUUACACUACUUAUGCCCGCCAAGCCUUAGAAAAUUCAAAGCACACUUACAGGAUAGAGAGCCUUUGAUAACUUCCAGGGACAAGGGUUUCUGGGAAGUGGACCCAAAUUCUCCCAGCAGGCAGGAUUUGGCAAUCACUCCAGACAGCCUUUUUCUAGCCAGCUUCCUGUUUGCUUGGGUAAUUUACUGAAUUUAUGGCUGUCUAGUUCCCGGGUCAGUGAUUCUCAAACCACAUUAUACCAGCUGCACGGUAUAAUCACCUGGCGAGAAUUUGAAAAUCCCUGUGCCGAUGCUGUGUCCCAGACCAACACAUCAGACCCUCUUGGGGUGGGGCCCAGGCCUCAGCAUUUUUUGAGGCUCCCCAGGUGAUUCCAAUGUGCAGCCGGGAUGGACAACCACUGGCCUAGACCAUGGCGGAUGAUCAGAUUCAGAGACGUGUGUUCUAUACGUAUGUAACUGAGUGGGUCCACUAACACAACAACACUUGUUUUCUACACCGACCCCACAGACAGGGCCGGGCGAAAGAAGAGAGCUGUGCUUCAGGGGCUGACUCACAAACAGCAGGUUUCCCUAGAACAGUCAUUUAGGAUCUGGAUAUUAGUGCCAGACGAAGGGAAGGACCUGUCCCCGCCACCGCCCCCCGCACCCCCACCAGCAUUGUUCACUUUCCUAUGAACCUAGUUUCUGGACGCUACGUCACAUUACCUUACCAAAUUUCUUAAAAAUUUCAACUGGGAAAAAGAGUUUAGAACUCUGAUCUCGCAGUUAAAUAAAUCUCAGAAUUUGAGGUUGAUGAUAAAUAUUCAAGUACAGUAUGUGAUGGUGGGUGUAAUUUCCCACAUUAUUACAAAAGAAAAAAUGUAACCUCCCCUUCUCUCUCUGAGUCAUCUCAGUAACCCAUGGUGUUAAUCUGGAGAAAUGCUUAAACCUUGAGGGAAAUUCAUUCACAGAGGUAGUCACGGCAAGUUCACAGGAGAUUUUUUAAUCAACUAAGACCAAGUACGCGUUCUAUCACCGACUAUAAUCAUGUAUUUUCCAUCCAGGAAAGAAACCCUGUGAAUCUUUGCAUAUGAUUUUACAGAUUAUGCUUUUUGUUGCUUUUCUUUUCCAGCUGUAUUGAGAUAUAAUUGACGUAUAACUUUGUGUAAGUUUAAUGUUCAACGUGUUGAUUUGAUACAUUUGUACACUGCAAAAUGAUUACCACCAUGGAGUUAGCUCACACCUCCAUUCUGUCACAUAAUUACCACUGCUUUGUUGUGGCGAGAACAUUUCAGAUCUACUCUCUUAGCAACUUUCAAGUAUAUAGUACAGUGUGUUGGCUAUAAUCACUGUGCUGUACAUUAGAUCCCCAAACUUGUUCAUCUUACACUGGAAGUUUGUACCCUUUGACCAACAUCUCCCCAUUUCCCCCACCCCUCAACCCCUGGUAACACCACCCUACUCUUCGUUUCUCUGUGUUCAUCUUUUUUGGAUUUCACAUGUAAGUGAUAUAAAGUAUUUGUCUUUCUCUUAUUUCACUUAGCAUAAUGUUCUCAAGUUCCAUCCAUAUUGUCAGAAACAGCAGAAUUUCCUUCUUUCUCAUGGCUGACUAAUAUUCCAUUGUCUGUAUACACACAUACCACAUUUCUUUAUCCAUUCAUCCCUUCAUGGACACUUAGAUUGUUUCCAUAUCUUGGCUGUUGGGAAUAAUGCUGCAAUGCCCAUGGGAGUACAGCUAUCUUUUUUAGAUCCUAUUUUCACUUCCUUUGGAUAUAUACUCAAAAGUGGGAUUGCUGGCUCAUAUAGUAGUUCUACUUUUAAUUUUCAAGGAAACUCUAUACCGUUUUCCAUAGUCGCUAUCCCAGUUGACAUUCCCGCCCAUAGUGUACAGGGGCCCCCUUUGCUCCACACCUUUGCCAGCACUUAUCUCUCACCUUAUUAACGUGUAGAUUAUCCUUUAACAGACGGGUGAGACUCUUUGUGAACCAGGUUUCCCCACCUACUUCAGACAGGGUCUGCUUCAUCAUUCCAGAGAAAUAUCUAUCAAGUCCCUAUUAUAGUUGAAUUUGUACUUUAUUAUUACAUGUACUUUCUUUGUAUUGAUUUUGGCUUAAAUAUUAUCUACUGAUCAUUUCAGAGUCUAGAAAAUAAACUUUGUACGUAAUACCUUUUUAAAAAGCUAGCUUACAGAUCACAUGUGUCAGUUUGGAUGCUAAAUUCCUAUCAGAGGCGGUAGACGGCAGCCUUAUUCAAGUGUUCCAUGUGAGUGAGCUCUGAAGAACUUCAUCACUCAUACAAGUUUGACUACUUCAACCAUGUCUUAAAAGGAACCAUUUCAUGAACUACUAUUUCUCUUUGUCAAGCCCCCUUAUCAUUUCAGCACAAUGAGAUGUAAAGAGGCUUGAGGGGCACAGAUCUGUGUUCAAAUACUGUCUCUGUUAUUCAUUUGCUACAGUCUCAAGAAACUGCGUAUCUCUGGGCCUCAGUUCCCUUCCAGACAAAUUAAAAACAAUAAAACCUGCGUAAGGAACACAGAUGAUGUCUGAAAAGCACCUAGACAUUGUCAUGAGGAGACAGAUGAAAGACUGCCGAUUCUGGUUCAUUCAAGAACUGCCAGGCAAGGCUGGUACCUGGGUAGGGAGGCCCAGCACCACCGGCAUCUCCAGGAUAGGACGGCUGCUAAUCAUCCCAGAACAAAGAGAUCAAAGGGCCAGCAAAUGAAAUCACAGGUAAUAAAUGGUCCAAGUAAAGUUACCCCAGGAUUUUCAGUCAAGUUCUACCCUCUUGCUAACUCCAGGAAUAGAAUUAGGGAAGCAACACCAAGCUUUGGGGAGCACACUCAUGGCUUUGGAAUGUGUUGGUUUUGUGGCCCAUGUUGGACUAUGUUGUUGGCAUAAAUGACUGAGUAGCUACAGUCAUCAAAAGCAACACUGCUUACCUCACCCCAGAAAGGACUCACUGUCAAGAGGUUCAGCAUGUUUAGAAAAAAGACAGGGGAUAAUUUAGAAGUGUUUUCACUUCCAAUAAUUUCCCGUCAAAGGACUCAAAGGCAAACAUCUACAAGAGACACAAACAUGCCAUUGCCUAGUUCUGUACCAACGUCAUCACUCAUCUCUUCGUGGGUUUGGGGAAAGUCUGAAUGCUUCAGACAGCAAAUUCGCUAAAAUCCUCACUAAAAUUUUAGUCUUUAGAGCUAGUCAUACCAUUGUUGUGGACAGAUUAAGAACAGAUAUCGGAAAACCAAAAGCCUAAAAAUCCAUGAAUCCUGAAAUAUUCAUUUCAAUUGUGAUUAGCACAGAUACAUAUCAAGGCUUAUAAAUAUGUCUCUGGAAUUUUCUUUUGUAAAUAUUCCUUCAGCUGCCUCUUUUACCUAUGAUCAUCACUCAACAAACGCCAGCCCCAACCCAUCUUGCAUUCGCCUGGGCUUUUCUGUCCAGAUUGAGCACCUAGAAUUUACCCAUGGAGUCCCUUCUUCUCAGAAAUGAACCGUGUCCUCUUUUCCCCGGACCAGGAGCUGGAGCUCCCUGAGGUUGUAACUGAUCUCAGAGCCUUCCCGCUUCCUGCCUAGAUGUUCCCACAUCUGUGGAAACGUGCACCCUUAGCACAUGGUCAGGGCCGGCAGCUCCUGAGGCCUUCACCCCAGCUGCCACACACAUACCCAUACACACAUUAACCCCACUCUGCUAUGGCCACAAAUGACCAGUUGUGCCACAGAGAUGGGCCUGAGAGACUGAACAACAAUACUUUGUCUCGAUGCCCUAUGUUUCUUCAAAGAUGGAAGCCUCUCUCAGCUUGGAGCCUUACCCUCAGCCGCCUGAGGUUGUGUCCAGUCCACACCCCUUCUGCAGGGCUCUGCCAAUGCUACAGACUCAUGAUAAUGGAAGCAGAGGGCCAGAGGGGUCGUUGAGAGAGAUCCUUUCUUUAGGGCCUUUUCCAGAUGUUAAACAGGAAUUCUGCUCUGUUCUGAAGCACAGAGAGCUCAGAGUUCAGGGGACGGGCCCAGCUCCCCUGUUGCCCACUCAGUGGUCUUGAGGAAAGCUCUCAUUUCUUCACCUCUGCAGUUAGAAUGAUAACCCUGCCUACACCUCCAGAGAAGGAUGUUAAGAGAAGCUCCCUCCCCGGAGGGUCCCCAGGCAGGCCCCUGGGGCAGCUCUGCAAGUGGCCCACACUGCAGGGCCAGAGUUCUCGUCAGGCCCCUGGAAGUGCCUGGGCCCUCUUCACUGUCCCCUUCCUGCCUUCUCUUUGACUGCUGACAUUUGAUUCUGUCUUGAAACGAGGCUGUAAGCUGCUGUGCAUUUUCUUCAUCUUUGUGUUUUCCCUCCCACCUCCUCUUCCUCUCCCACCCUAUCAGCAGCUCAUGCAGAGCUUAGCCCAGACUGGACACUUGAUAAUAGUUUGUCGAAAUGAUCAGUUCAUUUAGUAAUACGUGAGAUAAUGAACAAGAAAGCCCUGUGUAAACUGAGUUUUAUUUCUGCAACAGGUAGAAUGUCUCCAUGGCCAUAUUUAGGCAAAGCUCUUGCCACUUGUCACACACACAAGAAUUCAGGGCUGGGCAAGAGAGUCCAAUGUCCUGGAUGCCAGCCCUAUGCUGAAUGUCACCCCUGCCACAACCUUUUGUGACAAAUACAAAAUGACACCCAUAGUGCUUGUGCAUAGGAACUGCCCCUCCACAAUAUCAUACAGGUGAGCAUGUAGGGUCUAUGAGGUAAGCCUUUACAGCCUGGCACCAUCUCCCCAGCCUGUGACUGAAGGCUACCAGAAAUUCGGAAGCAAGUCCAGACUCCUUGCCAUGGACCCAGUUGCCCACAGUGAUGAGGCCGUGUGUCUGUCUCCAAGCUCACCUCGAACCUCCCUCCCCCUCACUCAGACAGCCAUGCACAGACCUUCUUGCUGCUCCUGCAACAGGGCUCUAAGGCUGCUGUCCCUCUGCUGUCGCCUUAAGCCUCAGACCUCAGGCCUCCCCCACCAGAGCUCCCCGUCACCAGGCUAACGCAGAUCUUGGCUCAUCAGUCAGUGUCUCAGCAGCCAUGUGUCUCUUUCAUAAUGUUGAUCGCCAUGUACGCAACUCCUGCGGCUGCCUGGCUGUUUUCUGUGACCCCUGCAGGCAGCAGGCAGAUCUCUCUCCCCCACUGUGGCAUCCUGUGGCUGUACACACAGCCAAGCCUUAAAAAAUAAUCAUUGAACAAACCAGAAGCUAUGAUCACAAAUGGUUUUAAAAUAAUACUGAUACUACUACACACCAAUUAGAAGGGCCAAAACCCAGAACACUGACAACAUCAAAUACCAAUAAGAACAUGGAGCGAUAAAGACUCUCAUUCGUCGCUGGGGGGAAUGCAAAAAGGUACAGCUACUUUAGAGACAGUUUGGCAGUUUUUUACAAAACCAAGCACACUCUUGCCAUACGAUUCCACAACUUCGUUCCUUGGUAUUUACACAAAGGAGUUGAAAACUUACAUGCACAUGGAUAUUUAUAGAAGCUUCAAUUAUAAUUGCCAAAACUUGGGAGCAACCCAGAUGUCCUUCAGUAGGUGCAUGGAUAAACUGUGGUCCAUCCAGACAAAACUGUGCAGACAGUAAGAAUACCAGGGGUUGCCAGGGGUUGACAGGGGUUGAGGGGAGGGUGAAUAUGUGGAACCCAGAGGAUCUUUAGGGCAGUGAGACUACCCUGUAUGAUCCUAUAAUGGUGGAUGCAUGUCAUCAUACACUUGUCCAAACCUAUAGAAUGCACCCCACUGGGAGAGAACCCUAAUGUAAACUAUGGACUCUGGGGGAUCAUGAUGAGUCAAGGCAGAUUCAUCAGUUGUAAUUUAUACAAUUUUGCUGUGAACCUAAAACUACUCUAAAAAAAAUUGUCUCCCUCCAGAAAAACCCUCCGUCAUGAUACGAGAUAUGAAAAUUUUAAAAACACAGUGAGUUAAACUCUUCCCCCUAUAAGACCAUCAAAGUUUAAUAAAAACCAGUUUGCCAGCAUACUGUGUUGACAAGCAUGUAGGGGAACAUUCUCUCAGACCUUCCCGGUGGAGCUGUUAAUUGUUCUAACCUGGUGGGAGGUGGGCGGGCAAUUUUGAAAUAUAUAUUUCAAAAUCACAGAUGCACAUAGCCUUUGAUCCAGCAAUUCCGCUUCUAGGAAUUUAGCCAACAAAUACACUUGCUUGCGCUUCUGCCAAAUGACCCAGGCAAGGCUGUUACACAUUGCAAUAUUGGUUGUAAUAGCAAAAGAUUGCAAACAACUUAAAAGUCCACCAAAAGAUUAUCUAGCUGAUUAGAUACAGUUACGGAACAGGGGACAGAAGAGUGUAUGCUGUUAGUGUGUACGACAGUUGAUUUGAUGUGUCAGCUUGACUGGGCCAUGGGGUGCCCAGACACCUAGUUAAACAAUAUUUCUGGGUGUGUCUUUGAGGGUGUUUCUGGAAGAGAUUAGCCUUUGAACUGGUGGACCGAGUAAAGCAGAUGAUCCUCUCCAAUGUAGGUGGGCAUCGUCCAAUAUGUUGAGGGCCUAAGUAGAUCAAAAAAGGCUGAACUAACUCUGUCUGACCCCGCCUGAGCUGACCUAUCAUCCUUUCCCUGCCCUUGGUGCUCCUGGUCCUCAAGCUUCGAUCUGAACUAGAAUCUCCACCACUGGCUAUCUGGCUCUCAAGCCUUGGAACUACACCAGCGGCCUUCCUGGGGCUCCAGCUUGCAGACGGCAGACUGUGGGACUUCUCAGCUCCGUAACCACAUGAGCCAAUACCUUACAAUCAGUCUCCUCUGAGAGAGAGCUGUAUGUCCUAUUGACUCCGUUUCACCGGAGAACUCUACAACAGUGUGAAAGAAGUAGAAGAAAAUAUGAGAAACUAUUAACAACAGUUACCUAUUGGUGAGAAGGAGGGAAACAGAUGGCUGGGAAAAGGGAAGAACGAGAGAGACUUCACUAAACAGCCUUUUAAAUUGUGUAAUCUGUUCAAAAGUAAAUCAAUCAUGUGUUAGCUGUUUAAAAAAUUAAAAAUCCCAAAAUCUUACCAAGAAGUUUAACAGAAAAACAAGUAAAAUACCGUUUUAAUUUAUACUCUUAUCUCCAUUUUGUAACUGGGACAACUAAGCAAAGAAAAAUAAGUUGCCCAGGGGAAGCAGAGAGGGCCUCUGCUCCCACACUGUACUCACCAUGCUCCAUCCCAGCCUCCUCGGAGACGUCCUUGGUGCAGAAUGGAGGGCUCAAUGGACAGGAAGUGUAAAGAAAGUGUCCCUACAUAUUCCAAACCCCCAUCAUGUCUAGGUUGACAUGCAGAAUUGGAUGGUCCUGCCAGGGAGCAUCCAGCCUGAAAAUCAGCUCCAGGUGCCACUUCAUAUUGACCCACAUAAUUCAGGGAGACUGAGGCUGAGCAGCCCCCACUGAACCCCCAAGUGAGGGGAUGGCUUGGCUGAGUUUCCAGGACCAACACCUCCAAAUGCAGCAGAACUGGACUCAUCACAUUUGGAGGGAAGAACCAAGCACAUCAGCACUCAAUUGUCCAGCGCAGUGUGACUCAUGGGCUAGAAAGCGAUAGACUUGACGUAGAUUGAUGGCUCGCUCAUCCCUACCUGGCACCUCAGGGCCACUUGCUGAGCUUCUCAGAGUCUCAUUGCAUUUGGCCCUGGAGCUGGAAUCAUGAUACCAAUCUUGCAAGGUUGUGAGAAAGAUUAGAGGUGUUCAAUGCAAAGAACCCAGAACAGUGUAUGCUCCUUGGUGAGAACACAAUGAAAGGCGACCCAAAUGAACAGCACAAACACCAUCAGCUGUCCAAAAACCAUGUGUCAUUGCCUCUAAAGUUCAGUCACUCCUGCCCUCCCCAACUCAUGGACUCUAGAGGAAGAUGGUUUGCAUCACGAAUCCCAGUUGUGCACUAACUACUGGUUUGACUUCAGGCAAAUCAUUUCUCUGUGCUUCAGUUUCUUAAUCUGCAAAAUAAGAUAAUAAUACUGACUACCUCGUUGACGAGGCACUUGAAACCAAAUCUCACACAUGGUAAGCGCUCUAUUAAGUAUUAGCCAUCAUCAUUAUUUACUUAGUUCCAAGUUUUAACCAUCGCUAAAUGUCAGUUUGGUCUUGCUUUUAACAGCCUGGCACCGAGUUGGAGGUAAGAGUGAAACUCUGUACUCCCGGUAAAGCUUUUCACACCCACGCCAAAUCCAAGAGACUCGCACUUGCAAAAGCUGUGGUCUCGACUUUUCUGGUUCUGCCCUUGGCUUGUAUUCAUUUGCUCAAUAUCCACUGAGAGCUUUAAAGAUUUACUCAGUGGAAACUGAAACCAACCCAAAUUAAACUAAACAAAGAAUAUAAUCAGUUUGCCCCAGAAAAGCUCCAUUUUUAAAAUUCUUUGCGAUUCCUUUUUGGGAUAUUCCUUUCCUCGCAGAGUUGGAUAAAAAUGUUCCUAGCUCCCUUCCAUUGACUCAUUCAAGAAACAUUAUUGAGUCCCCACAGGGUGUCAGACCCCAGACCAGGUCCUGGAGAGAGAAACACACGUAAAAUCAGUCCCCACUUUUAAGAAGCUCACACUGGGGAUCAGAGCAAAGCAGGUGGAGGAUGACAAUGCAAUGUGAGAGGAAAGGCGUGUUGCCCUGUAUGCAAGUGAGAUACAUAAGCAACAAAAUAAAAUCUGUUUUUAAAGUAUGUUCACGUGCUACUGGAACCAGCAAACACUGCUGCUGAAGAACCAAGAAAAAUGUUGCAACACACACCCAGCCCUUCCGAGUUUAGAAUUAGAAGACAUCGUCAAAAUUUCAGCAUGCAGCUCUCCAAAAACUAUGUACUUUAUAAGCUGAGAAUAUAAAUAAACUUCUUAGUAACAACAAUAUUAAUAGCACCAUUUUGUAUUUUUACUUCUUUUCUAUUCCAAGGACUUUCCUCCAUCUCUGCCCUUUAUGUUCCUAGCAUGAUCGCGUGGUGGAGCGGAAGGGUAGUCCUUAUCUCUAGAUUUUAGAGAUACAGAGGAGAUAAAAUAAUCAAGACUGAGAUUUGCCCUAGGUUGUUCAAAACGUACAAAGCCUCAGCAAAAGUAUCUGAUUCAGUCCCACUCUCAGCCGACUCGCUAACAGACGUGAAACGAGGUCAAAGGCCUCAGAAUUUAGGUUGGCGUAAGUUACUGUAGGAAACUAUUGCCUUUGGUAAUGAGUGACCCAAAAAGACAAGAAACUGAACCCAAAGGGGCAGAAUAGGAAGCCAGAAGGCUUUACAAAGGGUUUCUGUUUUUUUUAAUAGAUAGGCUUUUUUUUUUUUUAAAGAUUGGCAUGUGAGCUAACAACUGUUGCCAAUCUUCGGGUUUUUUUCCUGCUUUUUCUCCCCAAAUGCCCCCAGUACAUAGUUGUAUAUUUCAGUUGUGGGUCCUUCUAGUGGUGGUAUGUGGGACACCGCCUCAGCGUGGCCUGAUGAGCUGACCCAUGUCUGUGCCCAGGAUCCGAACCGGUGAAACCCUGGGCCGUCGAAGCAGAGAGCGCGAACUUAACCAUUAAGCCAUGCGGCCAGACCCUACAAAGGGUUUCUUUAAAGCAAAUUAAGACAACAAAAUACCUUUUGCCAGUUAUCAGACUAGCACACUUAAAAAAAAAAAAAAGGUAAAAUUCAAUGCUGGUAAAAGUGUAGGAAAAUGGUAUUCCUACAUGCUGGAGAGAGUAUGAAUUAUUAGCUCUUUCCUAGAUUAAUUUAGCAGCAGGAUCAAGAGCUUCAAAACUGCUCACACCUUUGACCCCACAAUUCCUGUUCUGGAAAUUUAUCCCAAGGAAAUAAUGAGGAAGAGAAGCAAAGCUUUCGCUACAAGGAGGUUGAUUUAGGUAAUGUCAAUAAUAGAAAAGAAAACAAGCAAAUAUCUACCAACAUGAUUUGGUAAAUUAUCUGUGUAAUAUGAUUAAAAAAUCUUUUGUAGAGGGGCCGGCCCGUGGCGCAGCGGUUAAGCUCGCAUGCUCCACUUUAGCGGCCCAGGGUUCACCAGUGCGGACCUGCAGUACUGCUAGUCAAGCCAUGCUGUGUCAGGCAACCCUCAUAUAAAGUAGAGGAAGAUGGGCAUGGAUGUUAGCUCAGGGCCAGUCUUCCUCAGCAAAAGGAGGAGAAUUUGCAGCAGAUGUUAGCUCAGGGCUAAUCUUCCUCAAAAAAUAAAAAAGCUUUUUCAGAAAGAAAUUCACUAGCGGGGCUCACAAUAUAUUGCUCAAGCAGGUAAUAAAACAGCAUGGACAGUACACGUAUGUGUUUUCAAAAUGUAAAUGUGUUCAGAGAAAAAUAUACCCACCAAAAUGUUAACAGUGUUUAUCUCACAACGUUAGGUUUCUCUUUUUCAUCUUUUUUACUUAUGUCUAGGUAUUCUUUUUAAAUUUUCUUUUUGACAGUGAGCAUGUGCUGCUUGUGUACAUUUUAAAGGAGAUAUUUUAGAAGUGGAUCUUAGCCACUCCUCGACCAUGCCUGUCAAGUUUUUCUCCUAAGUAAACUAAUAGAUGUGUGCCCAAAAGGGUUUGUGGGUGAAGAGAUUAACAGCUGCCUGCUGAAUUGAGAAAGGCCACAGUGUCUUUUUAAAUUCACCACCACUGUCAGAAGGCCAAAGUCAUCUCAGGAAGGCUCCCCACUCCUUCUGGCAGCAUUGCCUUCUUGCCUUUCCCAUCGGAUCCACGCAUCUACAGUGAAUGCAAAUCCUGCCUCGGCCUCCAACACACACAUCGUGGUCUCCAGUCGCCUGAGGCUGACACUGUGAUUUACCAAACUGGUCACUAGCCGCAUCUCUUGAAACAUCCUUCCCACCAUCCAGCUUUCACACCCUCAUAGCCGCAGUGCAAACCAGCAUUUUGCAUAAGAGCGAGGAGUUUUAAGUUGAAUUGAAUUGAACGGUAAACCUCAUUUUGUUCUCCUUUUUAUUUUCUUCUUUCCUUGCUUUAAUCUUUCAGAUUCUGUCCUAUUUUCUUAUUUCCCACAACAACACUAGUGUUAGGAAUUAUGGAGGUCAAGGGUGUUGAAUAAGGAAUGCAAGGCAGUGUGCAUCACCCCCCUGAGAGCACCGUCCUCCUCUCAGCUAUAGGCGUCACACCUGCAAGCUCCGAAAAAACAUACUCAUGAGUAUUAGAUGACAUGUUAAGCCCAUGCUGAAGGAAAUAUGUACAAGUCUUGCUACUACAAUACAUAUAACUUAAAAACAACCACUGGUUGUGUUAAUAAUAAUGCAAUGCUUUCAGCCAAAUAUUGGGCCAGAUUACGCCUCUCGAAAACUGCAGAAGCUCAACAGAGAGUGAUAAAAUGUCUUAAUUCUAACAUCAGCAACUGCAUUUUACAAGGAGUUUGUUUACAAUACCCUUCAAUUAAACCUCACAAUUUACCAAAAGUCACAUCAGUAUUUAUGGCUUAGAGGUAGUAUGUAGUUUAUACAUUUCCCAUAUAUUUCAUAGUUAGUCUUCCAUAGAAUAUAGCAUGCAUAAUCAUAGGUGAUCUUUUAAUACGGCUCACGGACACAUCUUAAGGUUAAAUAUGCCUGCAGAACCAUGUAACUCUGAGAAAUCCUGAAAAUCUUGUUUCAACAAACAGCAUAACAUUAUCAGUUGUAUCGGAUUCCAUUUCCCCUCCUAAAUACUUCAUCCUUGUGUAAGUAAGCAAAAAGAUAGGGAGGAAAAAAUACAGAAACAAAACCCCGAAGUGCGAUCAGUCGUCUUACCGUCCCCUCCUCAUCGCUGGGCCGUGUGCGAGCGCUGGCCCCCCGGGUGGUGGGAACUCUCAGAGAAGCCCGCAGGGUUUCUUCCCCCAAAUGAGGCCAGCUGAGCUGAUGUCGGUUAUUAAAAACAAAAGUGCAUUUUGAAGCCUGGAUAGAGUUGCUAAUUCCCUUUUACUUUUUCCAAAAGAGCUUUGGGUCUGGUCCUGCAGCACGAGAGUGACACCUCACAUCUUGUCAGACGACCCAACUGUGCCGAGGCUAAAAGAAAGAAGAAAGCGGGCUCUGGGUGACGCCUGUGUCAGAGGCUGUUAGGGCUUUAAUCCUCGGCAGUGACACAUGUGGGGAACUAUGAACAGGAAACUCAGCGCCAGGCAGACAGCCAGAAUCACUCAGAAAACGU
Molecule: long non-coding RNA, 18661 nt
Organism: Equus caballus (horse)
Lineage: Eukaryota; Metazoa; Chordata; Mammalia; Perissodactyla; Equidae
Source: Ensembl